Molecule: long non-coding RNA, 1742 nt
Organism: Triticum dicoccoides
Lineage: Eukaryota; Viridiplantae; Streptophyta; Magnoliopsida; Poales; Poaceae
Exons: 4
Source: RefSeq, a predicted model, not a curated record
CACAUGUUCACGUCCCGAAGCAAUUAAGCGUUAGUGCAAAACUCAGGCGUGUUAGCUGGAUCUUCAUGCUUUCUCUGCCUGUUGACUAGAAUUGUGCAACGCCUUUGGAAGACCUCAACAAAAUAUACCAAAGUGAUGCAGGCAACUAUCACAAAGAUGAUGUUACAUCCGAGCGGUGAGAAUGCCAAAUUCUGCACCAACGACCCUCUCUUGGCUUUCCCUUUUGUGUUCUCAUUGGUGGUUUUAGUAUCUCCAUUGGGUGUUGCAAAUGUUGCUGAUGAUGGCAAAUACCUGAGACCAAGAAGUAAAUUGUCGCACAUGAAUUUGAGAUUCCAAAGCCAGGGACAUGAGCGAGCAGUCAAUGGAAUUCUCCCCUGAGUGCCUCGCAUUCACCACCAUGAAGAAUGCAUUGACAGUCUUCUGAUAAGAGCUGAGCCCAUCAAACACUGAAGAAUUCCAAUCAACGGCGCAGAACAUCGUGACCCCAGCUGCUACAAGGCCAACGACCGUCGAGGAGAGAAAUGCAGUCGGCAACCUAGGAAGCAGAUUAGCAAAAUGCACCUCCUCAGGGUUCUUGAUCAUGUGCCGCAGCUCCUUCACCUUUGUGAGCCUCCCCAGGAACCAUACCAAUAGUCUCAGGAAGAGAGGGAACAAUGUGUUGCCUGCCAGAAUCUGGCCACUGAGCAGCAGCAAGAGGCCUGAAUUCUUUGAGAAGAUAACCAUGUUUUCAUUUGUGGGCACGAGUCCUGCAUUCGCACAGGAAGCGACGGUGACUGAUAGUGAGAAGAGCACGAUGUUGAUCCCUUUCUUGUUCAGUGGGGCACUUGCAGUUGGCACAUGAGUUAUAUACAGAAAAACCAGCAGAAAGCCCAAGACAUGGAUCACGGCAAAGUACCCAAAGACCACAUAUCCUAAGCACUUGACAGGCCUACUCCUCUUCAACUCUGUACAUUUCUUGGGUGGAAUUGCAUGAGCUGCUUCUUCAAGCUGCGACUCAUCACAGAGUGCCACGCUAUUCGCCAAGUCUAUCUCUUGAAGCUCGACAGGAACUGAGCUGAUCUUCAUGCUUGGAAGAUCUGGCAUGUCUUGAUGGUUCACUCUAAGCAUGAGGCCUAAGAGUGAAACAAAGAUCUCCCCUCCUGCAAGCAUGAGCAGUGUCAAGACCACAAUUUGAGAGCUUGAGAGGUCCUCCAUCGUGAUGGCGCUGAGGCCAGAAACUGUUAGAGCAGAAGUUGACAAGAAUAACAUGUCAAUGUAAGGAGGGCUGAAGUCAGGGUUGCUUGGUUUCAGCGACAUCAAGAGGACUGAACCAAGUAUAGCAAUGGCAAGGAAGUAGGACAGUUGGAUCCAGAAGGGGUGAACAUGCAAUGCAACAAAUCGAUAGACAAAAGCUAUUGAAUCGACAACAUAUCUACUGAUACGGCAAAAGCUAUGCAGCUUGAUAUGGAUGAAAUCCUGGUACUACUCAUGUUCUCUGGAAAAUGUUCUGCAGUUGGAUUGGUGAUCAUGCUGAGUGAAAAAGCUCAUUCUUCAGUUUAUUAGUUUAUUCUACGAUGAUGCUGAUACUUGCAGCUGUGGAAGGUUGCACUUGCAUCCCACAUUACUAGGAACCGACCUGGCGGAUCAUAUUCCUUGCGUACCGCGGGGGAUAGAGAUCAAACGCUCACCCCUAAAAAGAAAAUCCCUGGUACGCAAUCACGCGAGCGCCAUGAGCUAUAUGGAUCGGCCCAUUCUGGACCGGU